Long non-coding RNA from Zootermopsis nevadensis, 681 nucleotides. RefSeq lists it as uncharacterized. The record is from RefSeq and is a predicted model, not a curated record. NCBI's taxonomy places the organism in Eukaryota, Metazoa, Arthropoda, Insecta, Blattodea, Termopsidae.
UUUACAUUUGGGGUAAAAUUAAAUAUAAAGUACAGGUCCGUACAAAAAGUUAAGUUUGGCAGAUCUCCUCCUCACCCAGCGCACGAAAUUUAAUCAAAAUUCAUUCCGUCGUUUCGGACAUAAGACGCAGACAGACGACGUUGCACCGUUUUUGCACUGAACUUGCGAUGCAAAUUCACCCCCGCAACAUUCUGGCGGUGAAUGCGCGCCAUUCUUGUUCACGUGAUACGAGGCAUUGAUUUCCGCAAGUCAUCGAGUGAAGUCAUGGGGGCCCCGACCUUUAUCCCGACAAUCAGACUCGAGUGUCUGACCUGCAGAUAUCAUUAGAUCCUGCAAAACUUCCCACACACAACCUGAGACAUCUGACGGCGUUAAAAGAAAACACAGACUUGUUCCAGGAUAAGGAACAAUGUUCGACUCCUGUGAACAUCGUAACAGCGGUUUCCUAACAAGAAGACGACCAUCUGCACGAGCUAAGUGACUAUCAGCUUUUCAAUAAGGAUUAUUAGCAAUGAAAUUACUUUCAUCUAUAUUUCCAGGUGAAUUAUAAGACAUACUAGCACCUUCAGAACAGCCAAGAUCAUGUGAUUCAUUAUCAUCUUCCCAUCUAAUUCUGUCCUACUUAACCUCUGUAGCUGAAAUAGCAUCGUUAGAUGACAAUAAAUGCGUCUAAUUAAAGAA